RNAcentral lists this ribosomal RNA (798 nucleotides) under Arthrinium sp. RNAcentral's name for it is "partial large subunit ribosomal RNA". It matches the Rfam family "Eukaryotic large subunit ribosomal RNA", at positions 90 to 914 of the family's 3401-position model. The record is from RNAcentral. Lineage: Eukaryota; Fungi; Ascomycota; Sordariomycetes; Amphisphaeriales; Apiosporaceae.
CGAGUGAAGCGGGAACAGCUCAAAUUUGAAAUCUGGCCCUUGGGUCCGAGUUGUAAUUUGCAGAGGAUGCUUUUGGUGCGGUGCCUUCCGAGUUCCCUGGAACGGGACGCCUUAGAGGGUGAGAGCCCCGUACGGUUGGCCACCAAGCCUGUGUAAAGCUCCUUCGACGAGUCGAGUAGUUUGGGAAUGCUGCUCAAAAUGGGAGGUAUAUUUCUUCUAAAGCUAAAUACUGGCCAGAGACCGAUAGCGCACAAGUAGAGUGAUCGAAAGAUGAAAAGCACUUUGAAAAGAGGGUUAAAUAGCACGUGAAAUUGUUGAAAGGGAAGGAUUUAUGACCAGACUUUUUCUAGGGGGAUCAUCCGGUGUUCUCACCGGUGCACUUCCCCUAGUUGAGGCCAGCAUCGGUUUCUGUCGGGGGAUAAAAGCUUCAGGAAUGUGGCUCCCUCCGGGGAGUGUUAUAGCCUGUUGCAUAAUACCCUGACGGGGACCGAGGUUCGCGCAUUGCAAGGAUGCUGGCGUAAUGGUUAUUAAUCACCCGUCUUGAAACACGGACCAAGGAGUCGAACAUUUGUGCGAGUGUUUGGGUGUUAAACCCUCACGCGUAAUGAAAGUGAACGGAGGUGAGAGCCCUUCGGGGUGCAUCAUCGACCGAUCCUGAUGUCUUCGGAUGGAUUUGAGUAAGAGCAUAACUGUUCGGACCCGAAAGAUGGUGAACUAUGCGUGGAUAGGGUGAAGCCAGAGGAAACUCUGGUGGAGGCUCGCAGCGGUUCUGACGUGCAAAUCGAUCGUCAAAUCUGC